UAAAUACUCCCUCCGUCCGGAAAUACUUGUCCUAAAAAUAGACAAAAUGGAUGUAUCUAUAACUAAAAUAAGUCUAGAUACAACCAUUUUUAGGACAAGUAUUUCCGGACGGAGGGAGUAUAAG
Non-coding RNA from Triticum aestivum (bread wheat), 124 nucleotides. The record is from Rfam. NCBI's taxonomy places the organism in Eukaryota, Viridiplantae, Streptophyta, Magnoliopsida, Poales, Poaceae.